RNAcentral lists this ribosomal RNA (425 nucleotides) under uncultured bacterium. RNAcentral's name for it is "partial 16S ribosomal RNA". It matches the Rfam family "Bacterial small subunit ribosomal RNA", at positions 354 to 796 of the family's 1533-position model. The record is from RNAcentral.
GUGGGGAAUAUUGGACAAUGGGCGCAAGCCUGAUCCAGCCAUGCCGCGUGAGUGAUGAAGGCCUUAGGGUUGUAAAGCUCUUUUGUCCGGGAAGAUAAUGACUGUACCGGAAGAAUAAGCCCCGGCUAACUUCGUGCCAGCAGCCGCGGUAAUACGAAGGGGGCUAGCGUUGUUCGGAAUCACUGGGCGUAAAGCGCACGUAGGCGGACCAUUAAGUCAGGGGUGAAAGCCUGGAGCUAAACUCCAGAACUGCCUUUGAUACUGAUGGUCUCGAGUAUGGAAGAGGUUGGUGGAACUGCGAGUGUAGAGGUGAAAUUCGUAGAUAUUCGCAAGAACACCGGUGGCGAAGGCGGCCAACUGGUCCAUUACUGACGCUGAGGUGCGAAAGCGUGGGGAGCAAACAGGAUUAGAAACCCUGGUAGUCC